UGUAUAAGUUUUACAAUGAGCU
RNAcentral lists this non-coding RNA (22 nucleotides) under Arabidopsis thaliana (thale cress). Lineage: Eukaryota; Viridiplantae; Streptophyta; Magnoliopsida; Brassicales; Brassicaceae. The record is from RNAcentral.